RNAcentral lists this long non-coding RNA (1415 nucleotides) under Ananas comosus (pineapple). Its description in RNAcentral is "long non-coding RNA (ACOM_LNC007385)". Lineage: Eukaryota; Viridiplantae; Streptophyta; Magnoliopsida; Poales; Bromeliaceae. The record is from RNAcentral.
UUCGAGAGGCCGGCCGCUGCUGUACUUUUAUGAGUGUGAUUAUUUGCGUACUCAUAAGCUAUCUUUGAUCAUAGGACUUUCAAAUCGACGAUAUAUACCGUUAAAUAUUAUUUAGAGCAUUUAAAAUUUUUAGAAAUCAAAUUUUAUAAUUUUACGAUAUUAUUUACCUUACGAUCAAAAUAUCACAAAAUUGACAAUAUUUAACGGCCGGUAUGAAAUAUUUGCUAGUUUAACGGUGAAAAAGAAUCGGAAUAGGUUGAAAUUUUGAUAGAAAAUUCUAUUCACUACCUACAUAAAGAUCAAUAACUCCGAUCUUAAAUUGAAGGAUCCGAUCAUCCAUUUUUAUGAUAUCAUUCGAUUUUAAUCGUUCAUUUUAUACCCUCUUGAUGAACUUUUAUAAUGAUUUUAAAAAAUUACAAAAUUUAUUUUUUAGAAGUUUCAAAUACUCUAGAUCAUUUUAGCGGUGUAGAUCGUCGAUUUGAAAAACCCAAUAUCAAAAACAACUUAUAAGUACGAAGAGCUCUAUACUCAUAGGAGUAUAGUAGCCCUACUCCUAAUUCGAAAUCGAAAUUGACGAAUUCGUUUGUCACUAUUUAAUAUAUAAAAUAUUUAUUUUAAUUUUAAUUUUUGGAUGAAUAAAAAUUUUUGUAAUUAUUUUUUUUUAAAUCCGGUUUAGAAGGUCGGAUUGAAAAUUAAAUUCGAGUGGAAUUGAUUUAUUCAGAUUAAAUUUAACUUUUGUAAGCUUAUUUUUUAAUUAAAACAUAAAUUUAAGUUUAAAAAUUAUAUUUAUAAAUUUAAAUUUUAAUUCGAACUUAAAUUAAAAAUUAAAAUUCAACCAAGUAUUUUUAUAAAUUUGAAUUUAAAUUUAACUUUAAUUUAAAAUCUAAAAUUUUAUUCAAAUUUUAUUUAAAGUUUAAAUUAAAUUUAUGGAUUCAAAUUAAAAUUUAAAUUAUAAUUUUAAGUUUGAAUUUGACUAAAUCAAAAUUUAGUUUUAUAUUUUGAAUUAUCCGUUCAAUUUCAACUUUUUAAUUUUUUUAAAAAAAUAUAUAUUUAAAAUUUUGACAUCAUUUUAAAAUUUUAACGUAAAUUUUUAAUAUUCAAUUUUUAGUUUGAAUUUAGACUAAUAUAUUAUAAAAGAUAAAAUUGAUAUAUUAAUUUGAUUACGUUUCUGAUAUCUAUCUGAACCAAACACCAAAAUGGAAAUGGUUUAUUCCGAUACCGAACACCGACAAUAGAAAUUGUUUAUUCCGAUUCCGAUUCAGAUGAUGAACCAAGCAGAAUGAGGUAAUGAAUCGUUCUGAUUCCGUUUUCGUUUCCAACUUAUUCUCAUUCCAAUUCUGAAACCGAUUUCGACUUCGAACCAAACAAACCCUUAAUGUAAUCCCAUUUUCUGGCUAACGUGGAUUUAUACAAUU